RNAcentral lists this transfer RNA (50 nucleotides) under Oreocharis aurea. RNAcentral's name for it is "partial tRNA-Leu". Lineage: Eukaryota; Viridiplantae; Streptophyta; Magnoliopsida; Lamiales; Gesneriaceae. The record is from RNAcentral.
AAAAUCCGUCGACUUUAAAAAUCCUGAGGGUUCAAGUCCCUCUAUCCCCA